UACAGAGGUCCCAAGCGUUGUUCGGAUUCACUGGGCGUAAAGGGUGCGUAGGCGGUCGGGUAAGUCUGACGUGAAAUCUUCAAGCUCAACUUGGAAACUGCGUCCGAUACUACUCGGCUAGAGGAAUGGAGGGGAGACUGGAAUACUUGGUGUAGCAGUGAAAUGCGUAGAUAUCAAGUGGAACACCAGUGGCGAAGGCGAGUCUCUGGACAUUUCCUGACGCUGAGGCACGAAAGCCAGGGGAGCAAACGGG
RNAcentral lists this ribosomal RNA (253 nucleotides) under uncultured bacterium. RNAcentral describes it as "partial 16S ribosomal RNA". It matches the Rfam family "Bacterial small subunit ribosomal RNA", at positions 524 to 776 of the family's 1533-position model. The record is from RNAcentral.